AGGCCAUGGUGAGGGCAUCCAAGGUCAAUGUCCUUGAAUCUCUCCCAUGCCUCAUGCAAAGUCUCUCCAUCAAAUUGAAUAAACCUCAAGAUAUCAUCUCUCAUACU
RNAcentral lists this small nucleolar RNA (107 nucleotides) under Rosa chinensis. RNAcentral's name for it is "sRNA RchiOBHm_Chr3g0495791". It matches the Rfam family "Plant small nucleolar RNA R71". From Rfam's summary of the family: R71 is a member of the C/D box family of snoRNAs containing the C (UGAUGA) and D (CUGA) box motifs. Multiple nearly identical copies of this snoRNA have been identified in Arabidopsis, and it is thought to function as a 2'-O-ribose methylation guide for 18S ribosomal RNA. The record is from Rfam by way of RNAcentral. Lineage: Eukaryota; Viridiplantae; Streptophyta; Magnoliopsida; Rosales; Rosaceae.